Molecule: ribosomal RNA, 547 nt
Filed under: Friesea claviseta
Lineage: Eukaryota; Metazoa; Arthropoda; Collembola; Poduromorpha; Neanuridae
Description: SSU rRNA
Rfam family: Eukaryotic small subunit ribosomal RNA
Source: RNAcentral
AAAGCUGAAACUUAAAAGAAUUGACGGAAGGGCACCACCAGGAGUGGAGCCUGCGGCUUAAUUUGACUCAACACGGGAAAUCUCACCAGGCCCGGACACCGGAAGGAUUGACAGAUUGAUAGCUCUUUCUUGAUUCGGUGGGUGGUGGUGCAUGGCCGUUCUUAGUUGGUGGAGCGAUUUGUCUGGUUAAUUCCGAUAACGAACGAGACUCUGGCCUACUAACUAGACAUUAAAUCCUUUAUGGGUUUAUUGAUGCUUCUUAGAGGGACGGGCGGCUUUUAGCCGCACGAGAAUGAGCAAUAACAGGUCUGUGAUGCCCUUAGAUGUUCUGGGCUGCACGCGCGCUACACUGAAGAAAUCAGCGUGUGUACCCUAUCCGAAAGGAUUGGGAAACCCGUUGAACCUUCUUCGUGAUGGGGAUUGGGGAUUGAAAUUAUUCCCCAUGAACGAGGAAUUCCCAGUAGGCGCGAGUCAUAAGCUUGCGUCGAUUACGUCCCUGCCCUUUGUACACACCGCCCGUCGCUACUACCGAUCGAGUGAUUUAGUG